CACGUAGGGCGCAAGCGUUGUCCGGAAUUAUUGGGCGUAAAGAGCUCGUAGGCGGCUUGUCACGUCGGGUGUGAAAGCCCGGGGCUUAACCCCGGGUCUGCAUUCGAUACGGGCUAGCUAGAGUGUGGUAGGGGAGAUCGGAAUUCCUGGUGUAGCGGUGAAAUGCGCAGAUAUCAGGAGGAACACCGGUGGCGAAGGCGGGAUCUCUGGGGCC
Molecule: ribosomal RNA, 214 nt
Filed under: uncultured bacterium
Lineage: Bacteria
Description: partial 16S ribosomal RNA
Rfam family: Bacterial small subunit ribosomal RNA
Source: RNAcentral